AGUGGCUACUGCUUGACUGAACACUUUACCGAGCUGUCCUAUGGUGCUCUUCACCGAGUGUCAUAGGCGAUCGGUACGUUUACUUUGAAAAAAUUAGAGUGCUCAAAGCAGGCUUUCAAGCCCGAAUAAUGUUGCAUGGAAUAAUGGAAUAGGACCUCGGUUCUAUUUUGUUGGUCUUCGGAAUCUGAGGUAAUGAUCAAUAGGGACAGACGGGGUCAUUCGUAUUGCGGCGCUAGAGGUGAAAUUCUUGGACCGUCGCAAGACGAACUAAAGCGAAAGCAUUUGACAAGAAUGUUUUCAUUAAUCAAGAACGAAAGUUAGAGGUUCGAAGGCGAUCAGAUACCGCCCUAGUUCUAACCAUAAACGAUGCCAACCAGUAAUUCGCCUGAGUUCCUUAAAUGACUCGGCGAGGGACUUCCGGGAAACCAAAGUCUUUCGGUUCCAGGGGAAGUAUGGUUGCAAAGCUGAAACUUAAAGAAAUUGACGGAAGGGCACCACCAGGAGUGGAGCCUGCGGCUUAAUUUGACUCAACACGGGAAAACUCACCCGGCCCGGACACUGGAAGGAUUGACAGAUUGAGAGCUCUUUCUUGAUUCAGUGGGUGGUGGUGCAUGGCCGUUCUUAGUUGGUGGAGUGAUUUGUCUGGUUAAUUCCGAUAACGAACGAGACUCUAGCCUACUAAAUAGAUUGUCGGCUUACAAACGCCGACAAGACUUCUUAGAGGGACAGGCGG
RNAcentral lists this ribosomal RNA (733 nucleotides) under uncultured eukaryote. RNAcentral's name for it is "SSU rRNA". It matches the Rfam family "Eukaryotic small subunit ribosomal RNA", at positions 671 to 1426 of the family's 1831-position model. The record is from RNAcentral.